RNAcentral lists this ribosomal RNA (460 nucleotides) under uncultured bacterium. RNAcentral's name for it is "partial 16S ribosomal RNA". It matches the Rfam family "Bacterial small subunit ribosomal RNA", at positions 338 to 795 of the family's 1533-position model. The record is from RNAcentral.
CCUACGGGAGGCAGCAGUGAGGAAUAUUGGUCAAUGGACGAGAGUCUGAACCAGCCAAGUAGCGUGAAGGAUGACUGCCCUAUGGGUUGUAAACUUCUUUUAUAAAGGAAUAAAACGAGGCACGUGUGCCUUUUUGUAUGUACUUUAUGAAUAAGGAUCGGCUAACUCCGUGCCAGCAGCCGCGGUAAUACGGAGGAUCCGAGCGUUAUCCGGAUUUAUUGGGUUGAAAGGGAGCGUAGAUGGGUUGUUAAGUCAGUUGUGAAAGUUUGCGGCUCAACCGUAAAAUUGCAAUUGAUACUGGCAGUCUUGAGUACAGUUGAGGUAGGCGGAAUUCGUGGUGUAGCGGUGAAAUGAUUAGAUAUCACGAAGAACCCCGAUUGCGAAGGCAGCUUACUAAACUGUGACUGACAUUGAUGCUCGAAAGUGUGGGUAUCAAACAGGAUUAGAUACCCUUGUAGUC